RNAcentral lists this ribosomal RNA (427 nucleotides) under uncultured Noviherbaspirillum sp. RNAcentral describes it as "bacterial SSU rRNA". It matches the Rfam family "Bacterial small subunit ribosomal RNA", at positions 355 to 774 of the family's 1533-position model. The record is from RNAcentral. Lineage: Bacteria; Pseudomonadati; Pseudomonadota; Betaproteobacteria; Burkholderiales; Oxalobacteraceae.
UGGGGAAUUUUGGACAAUGGGCGCAAGCCUGAUCCAGCAAUGCCGCGUGAGUGAAGAAGGCCUUCGGGUUGUAAAGCUCUUUUGUCAGGGAAGAAACGGCGGGAGCUAAUAUCUCCUGCUAAUGACGGUACCUGAAGAAUAAGCACCGGCUAACUACGUGCCAGCAGCCGCGGUAAUACGUAGGGUGCAAGCGUUAAUCGGAAUUACUGGGCGUAAAGCGUGCGCAGGCGGUUGUGCAAGACCGAUGUGAAAUCCCCGGGCUUAACCUGGGAAUGGCAUUGGUGACUGCACGGCUAGAGUGUGUCAGAGGGGGGUAGAAUUCCACGUGUAGCAGUGAAAUGCGUAGAGAUGUGGAGGAAUACCGAUGGCGAAGGCAGCCCCCUGGGAUAACACUGACGCUCAUGCACGAAAGCGUGGGGAGCAAACA